GUAGGUGGCAAGCGUUGUCCGGAAUUAUUGGGCGUAAAGCGCGCGCAGGCGGUUCUUUAAGUCUGAUGUGAAAGCCCACGGGCUCAACCGUGGAGGGUCAUUGGAAACUGGAGAACUUGAGUACAGAAGAGGAAAGCGGAAUUCCACGUGUAGCGGUGAAAUGCGUAGAGAUGUGGAGGAACACCAGUGGCGAAGGCGGCUUUCUGGUCUGUAACUGACGCUGAGGCGCGAAAGCGUGGGGAGCAAACAGGAUUAGAUACCCUGGUAGUCCACGCCGUAAACGAUGAGUGCUAAGUGUUAGGGGGUUUCCGCCCCUUAGUGCUGCAGCUAACGCAUUAAGCACUCCGCCUGGGGAGUACGGCCGCAGGGCUG
This 372-nucleotide ribosomal RNA is filed under the name uncultured organism. RNAcentral's name for it is "partial 16S ribosomal RNA". It matches the Rfam family "Bacterial small subunit ribosomal RNA", at positions 527 to 896 of the family's 1533-position model. The record is from RNAcentral.